GGAUAGCUCAGUUGGUUAGAGCAUGGUGCUUAUAAUGCCACGGUUGUGAGUUUGAUCCCCGUAUGGGACG
Molecule: non-coding RNA, 70 nt
Organism: Podarcis lilfordi (Lilford's wall lizard)
Lineage: Eukaryota; Metazoa; Chordata; Lepidosauria; Squamata; Lacertidae
Source: the annotation of a GenBank genome assembly